UACGGGGGGAGCAAGCGUUGUUCGGAUUUACUGGGCGUAAAGGGCUCGUAGGCGGCCAACUAAGUCAGACGUGAAAUCCCUCGGCUUAACCGGGGAACUGCGUCUGAUACUGGAUGGCUUGAGAUUGGGAGAGGGAUGCGGAAUUCCAGGUGUAGCGGUGAAAUGCGUAGAUAUCUGGAGGAACACCGGUGGCGAAGGCGGCAUCCUGGACCAACACUGACGCUGAGUGAGCGAAAGCCAGGGGAGCAAACGGG
RNAcentral lists this ribosomal RNA (254 nucleotides) under uncultured bacterium. RNAcentral's name for it is "partial 16S ribosomal RNA". It matches the Rfam family "Bacterial small subunit ribosomal RNA", at positions 524 to 776 of the family's 1533-position model. The record is from RNAcentral.